Molecule: unclassified non-coding RNA, 260 nt
Filed under: uncultured fungus
Lineage: Eukaryota; Fungi
Description: sequence contains ITS1
Source: RNAcentral
GUAUAGGUUUAAUGACUGCGACAAGCACAAUCGUUAAAAGACAUUCUGUAACUUUAUAGUGUAUAUGAAAACAUAGCCUUGAAGAAGCAGGAGAAGGGCUAGCAUCUCCCAAACCGCAUUGACUGCGAGAGGUUUCAUUCAAGACUACAAGAUGUGCACAAGAGAAGAUAAAUAGAUGGACGAGCACAUGCUCAGUGAAGAGCCAGCAUCAGUACCAAUCGUAUUCAAUAAUGAUCCUUCCGCAGGUUCACCUACGGAAA